This 373-nucleotide ribosomal RNA is filed under the name uncultured bacterium. RNAcentral describes it as "bacterial SSU rRNA". It matches the Rfam family "Bacterial small subunit ribosomal RNA", at positions 525 to 896 of the family's 1533-position model. The record is from RNAcentral.
ACGUAGGUGGCAAGCGUUAUCCGGAUUUAUUGGGCGUAAAGCGAGCGCAGGCGGUUGCUUAGGUCUGAUGUGAAAGCCUUCGGCUUAACCGAAGAAGUGCAUCGGAAACCGGGCGACUUGAGUGCAGAAGAGGACAGUGGAACUCCAUGUGUAGCGGUGGAAUGCGUAGAUAUAUGGAAGAACACCAGUGGCGAAGGCGGCUGUCUGGUCUGCAACUGACGCUGAGGCUCGAAAGCAUGGGUAGCGAACAGGAUUAGAUACCCUGGUAGUCCAUGCCGUAAACGAUGAGUGCUAGGUGUUGGAGGGUUUCCGCCCUUCAGUGCCGGAGCUAACGCAUUAAGCACUCCGCCUGGGGAGUACGACCGCAAGGUUG